Molecule: RNA transcript, 1044 nt
Organism: Brassica oleracea var. oleracea
Lineage: Eukaryota; Viridiplantae; Streptophyta; Magnoliopsida; Brassicales; Brassicaceae
Gene name: ATP synthase subunit O, mitochondrial
Exons: 7
Source: RefSeq, a predicted model, not a curated record
UUGCUACUACUCUCGACAGAACAGCUGAUUGGCUUUUUUUUUUAAUCAUUACUAGGGUUCCAAUCAGAUAUCUGCAACAACAAAAAUGGCUUUGGCUGGUCGUAUCAGAUCCGGGAUCUCCCUCUUCAAGACCAUCGCCGUCUCAGAUUCCGUCUCCUCUGCGAGAUCUUUUCCCAGUGGACGGCCGCUUAUCCCUGCGCUAAGAGAUUAUGCAACAGCUUCAGCUCAGAAAACUGGCAACGUUAAGGUGCCUGUGGCUUUAGUUGGUGAGUCUGGCAACUUUGCUUCGUGGCUGUACAUUGCAGCUGUGAAAAUGAAUUCCUUGGAAAAGAUUGAGUCUGAUCUUUCUGAGCUUGUUGAGGCUAUGAAGACAAGCCCUAUUUUCUCACAGUUUACAAAGGAUCCAUCUGUUCCUAGAGAGACAAGACUGGCUGCUAUUGUGGAUGUUUGUGACAAAGCAAAGUUUGCUGAACCUACCAAGAACUUCCUCUCUUUGUUAGCUGAGAACGGGAAGCUGAAGAACCUAGACGUGAUUGUGAAAAAGUUCAUGCAGCUGACAACAGCACAUAGGGGAGACGUCAAAGUCUUGGUUACCACUGUCAUGCCGCUUCCCCCUGCUGAGGAGAAGGAACUCAAGGACACACUUCAGGAGAUCAUUGGCGAAGGGAAGAAAGUAACUGUCGAACAGAAGAUUGAUCCGAGUAUCUACGGAGGGCUAAUAGUGGAGUUUCAACAAAAGGUGCUGGAUAUGUCUAUCAGGACAAGAGCACAGCAGAUGGAGAGGCUCCUCCGUGAACCUGUUGACCUCAGCAACCUCUGAGUUUCUCCCUAGAAACAUGUUUGUGAAGCUGCAACCCAGCUGACAAAAUAAACAUAUGACCCUCUCCACUUGGGAAACAAUAUAUUGUCGUUUUUGAAAUUUGCCAUUUGUUGUUUGCUUCGAAAUAAGCUGUUGGAGAUUAUUUACGUUUGAGAGAAUGUAUGCUCAAUUUGGUAAACAUGAUGAGACUUUUGUUUGGUAAUAUAUUUUACUGUUUUACCCUG